RNAcentral lists this ribosomal RNA (495 nucleotides) under uncultured bacterium. Its description in RNAcentral is "partial 16S ribosomal RNA". It matches the Rfam family "Bacterial small subunit ribosomal RNA", at positions 28 to 507 of the family's 1533-position model. The record is from RNAcentral.
GAUGAACGCUGGCGGCGUGCCUAAUACAUGCAAGUAGAACGCUGAAGGAGGAGCUUGCUCUUCUGGAUGAGUUGCGAACGGGUGAGUAACGCGUAGGUAACCUGCCUGGUAGCGGGGGAUAACUAUUGGAAACGAUAGCUAAUACCGCAUGACAACAGUUAUUGCAUGAUAACUGUUUAAAAGGGGCAACUGCUCCACUACCAGAUGGACCUGCGUUGUAUUAGCUAGUUGGUGAGGUAACGGCUCACCAAGGCGACGAUACAUAGCCGACCUGAGAGGGUGAUCGGCCACACUGGGACUGAGACACGGCCCAGACUCCUACGGGAGGCAGCAGUAGGGAAUCUUCGGCAAUGGACGGAAGUCUGACCGAGCAACGCCGCGUGAGUGAAGAAGGUUUUCGGAUCGUAAAGCUCUGUUGUAAGAGAAGAACGAGUGUGAGAGUGGAAAGUUCACACUGUGACGGUAUCUUACCAGAAAGGGACGGCUAACUACGCG